Molecule: non-coding RNA, 741 nt
Organism: Jatropha curcas
Lineage: Eukaryota; Viridiplantae; Streptophyta; Magnoliopsida; Malpighiales; Euphorbiaceae
Source: RefSeq, a predicted model, not a curated record
CUGUAACGUUCUUUUCACUUUUCUGCCACUGCCACCCUCUCUCUCUCUCUCUCUCUCUCUAAUAGUAGCUAAGCAGCUUGAACAUCCACCACCACCAGGCCACCACCACUUUAUAGUACACUUACCUCACCAUUUAUGCACUGUCUGUCACUGCCUCUUAGAUCCAUUAAAAGCAACCAAACCCUUCUAGCAGAAAGAGUUUAGUUUAGGAAGAAGCAUUGGCACCUGGGUUUUCAUAUUUCUAUAAUUUCUUAAGCUCUCUGUAUAUGUAUAAUGGUGACAUGAAAUCUUUAUUUUCAUGAGUCAUGAGUUUCCAUCAACAAUAUCUUAUAGUUUUUGCAGCAUUGUGUUUCUUUCUUCUUCUUCUUCUUCUCCUUUUUUCCCCAUUCUCUUCCCUUAAUUAUCAACAUCGGAGUUUAUUGUUUGAGGAGAAAACAAGAUUGGGUUCAACGCCACCGAGUUGCCACAACAAGUGCAAUGGAUGCCAUCCAUGUAUGGCAGUUCAAGUGCCUUCUAUACCGAGUCACCACCGAGUCAAACCGAGUCAUUUGACCAAAAAUGAUCUCAAGUUAUUUGACACGUAUCCUUCAGGUAACAGGUACUCCAAUUAUAAGCCACUGGGUUGGAAGUGUCACUGUGGUGGCCAUUUUUAUAAUCCUUGAUCUUCUUCAACUGUGCAUUAUAUAUCAUUAGUUUCUUGAUUAUAUAUAUAUAAAUAUUUGAAAGUGAAUAAUUUAGCAA